This is a non-coding RNA of Potamilus streckersoni, 73 nucleotides long. The record is from the annotation of a GenBank genome assembly. NCBI's taxonomy places the organism in Eukaryota, Metazoa, Mollusca, Bivalvia, Unionida, Unionidae.
GCUCCAGUGGCCUAGUGGUAAGAGUAUCCGACUCGGAUGCGGGAAGUCACGGGUUAGAACCUCGGCUGAGUCA